UGAACUACCGCAACACUCCGGCUUUGAACCA
Molecule: non-coding RNA, 31 nt
Filed under: Mus musculus (house mouse)
Lineage: Eukaryota; Metazoa; Chordata; Mammalia; Rodentia; Muridae
Source: RNAcentral